RNAcentral lists this ribosomal RNA (72 nucleotides) under Lysinibacillus sp. SG9. RNAcentral's name for it is "16S rRNA. Bacterial SSU". The record is from RNAcentral. Lineage: Bacteria; Bacillati; Bacillota; Bacilli; Caryophanales; Bacillaceae.
CUGGCUCAGGACGAACGCUGGCGGCGUGCCUAAUACAUGCAAGUCGAGCGAACAGAGAAGGAGCUUGCUCCU